This 279-nucleotide ribosomal RNA is filed under the name uncultured bacterium. Its description in RNAcentral is "partial 16S ribosomal RNA". It matches the Rfam family "Bacterial small subunit ribosomal RNA", at positions 506 to 784 of the family's 1533-position model. The record is from RNAcentral.
UGCCAGCAGCCGCGGUAAUACGGAGGGUGCGAGCGUUAAUCGGAAUCACUGGGCGUAAAGCGUACGUAGGCGGUUAGUUAAGUCAGCUGUGAAAGCCCCGGGUUCAACCUGGGAACUGCAGUUGAUACUGGCCAACUAGAGUGCAAGAGAGGGAGGUAGAAUUCCACGUGUAGCGGUGAAAUGCGUAGAUAUGUGGAGGAAUACCGGUGGCGAAGGCGACCACCUGGCCAGGUACUGACGCUGAGGUGCGAAAGCGUGGGGAGCAAACAGGAUUAGAUA